RNAcentral lists this ribosomal RNA (415 nucleotides) under uncultured bacterium. RNAcentral's name for it is "bacterial SSU rRNA". It matches the Rfam family "Bacterial small subunit ribosomal RNA", at positions 945 to 1359 of the family's 1533-position model. The record is from RNAcentral.
AUUAAUUCGAUGCAACGCGAAGAACCUUACCAAGGCUUGACAUAUACUGGACUGCGUCAGAGAUGGCGUUUCCCUUCGGGGCUGGUAUACAGGUGGUGCAUGGUUGUCGUCAGCUCGUGUCGUGAGAUGUUGGGUUAAGUCCCGCAACGAGCGCAACCCUCGUUCUAUGUUGCCAGCACGUGAUGGUGGGGACUCAUAGGAGACUGCCGGGGUCAACUCGGAGGAAGGUGGGGAUGACGUCAAAUCAUCAUGCCCCUUAUGUCUUGGGCUUCACGCAUGCUACAAUGGCCGGUACAGAGGGUUGCGAUACUGUGAGGUGGAGCUAAUCCCUAAAAGCCGGUCUCAGUUCGGAUUGGGGUCUGCAACUCGACCCCAUGAAGUCGGAGUCGCUAGUAAUCGCAGAUCAGCAACGCUG